This 253-nucleotide ribosomal RNA is filed under the name uncultured bacterium. RNAcentral describes it as "partial 16S ribosomal RNA". It matches the Rfam family "Bacterial small subunit ribosomal RNA", at positions 524 to 776 of the family's 1533-position model. The record is from RNAcentral.
UACAGAGGCCUCGAGCGUUAGGCGGAAUCACUGGGCUUAAAGCGUGUGUAGGCGGGCCCGUAAGUGUCUUGUGAAAUCCCACGGCUCAACCGUGGAACUGCUGGGCAUACUGCGGGUCUUGGGCCAACUAGGGGCAGCCGGAACAAGCGGUGGAGCGGUGAAAUACGUAGAUAUCGCUUGGAACGCCGAAGGUGAAAACAGGCUGCUGGGGUUGCGCCGACGCUGAGACACGAAAGCCAGGGGAGCAAACGGG